GGCGUGCCUAACACAUGCAAGUCGAACGGAAGCAAAGAUUUCGGUUUUUGCUUUAGUGGCGAACGGGUGAGUAACGCGUGAGGAACCUGCCUUUCAGUGGGGGACAACAGUUGGAAACGACUGCUAAUACCGCAUAAGCCCACAGAGCCGCAUGGCUCAGGGGGAAAAGGAGCAAUUCGCUUCAGGAUGGAUUCGCGUCCAAUUAGCUGGAUGGUGAGGUAACGGCCCACCAUGGCAACGAUUGGUAGCCGGACUGAGAGGUUGAUCGGCCACAUUGGGACUGAGACACGGCCCAGACUCCUACGGGAGGCAGCAGUGGGGAAUAUUGCACAAUGGGGGAAACCCUGAUGCAGCGACGCCGCGUGAGUGAGGAAGGUCUUCGGAUCGUAAAGCUCUGUUGUAAGAGAAAAACGGCACUCAUAGGGAAUGAUGAGUGAGUGAUGGUAUCUUACCAGAAAGUCACGGCUAACUACGUGCCAGCAGCCGCGGUAAUACGUAGGUGGCGAGCGUUAUCCGGAAUGAUUGGGCGUAAAGGGUGCGUAGGUGGCAGAUCAAGUCUGGAGUAAAAGGUAUGGGCUCAACCCGUACUGGCUCUGGAAACUGAUCAGCUAGAGAACAGAAGAGGACGGCGGAACUCCAUGUGUAGCGGUAAAAUGCGUAGAUAUAUGGAAGAACACCGGUGGCGAAGGCGGCCGUCUGGUCUGGAUACUGACACUGAAGCACGAAAGCGUGGGGAGCAAAUAGGAUUAGAUACCCUAGUAGUCCACGCCGUAAACGAUGAGAACUAGGUGUUGGGGGAAUAACUCAGUGCCGCAGUUAACGCAGUAAGUUCUCCGCCUGGGGAGUAUGCACGCAAGUGUGAAACUCAAAGGAAUUGACGGGGGCCCGCACAAGUGGUGGAGCAUGUGGUUUAAUUCGACGCUACGCGAAGAACCUUACCUGGGUUUGACAUUCACAGGAAGAACGCAGAGAUGUGUUCGCCUUCGGGCUUGUGAACAGGUGCUGCAUGGCUGUCGUCAGCUCGUGCCGUGAGGUGUUGGGUUAAGUCCCGCAACGAGCGCAACCCCUAUUUUCAGUUACCAUCGGGUAAUGCCGGGGACUCUGGAGAGACUGCCGUUAUAAAACGGAGGAAGGCGGGGAUGACGUCAAGUCAGCAUGGCCCUUACGUCCAGGGCUACACACGUGCUACAAUGGUCGGUACAAAGGGAUGCGAAGUCGCGAGGCGGAGCCAAUCUCAAAAAGCCGAUCCCAGUCCGGACUGCAGGCUGCAAUUCGCCUGCACGAAGUCGGAAUCACUAGUAACCGAAGGUCAGCUACACUGCGGUGAAUACGUUCCCGGGC
RNAcentral lists this ribosomal RNA (1341 nucleotides) under uncultured bacterium. RNAcentral describes it as "partial 16S ribosomal RNA". It matches the Rfam family "Bacterial small subunit ribosomal RNA", at positions 41 to 1379 of the family's 1533-position model. The record is from RNAcentral.